This 354-nucleotide ribosomal RNA is filed under the name Kryptoperidinium foliaceum. RNAcentral's name for it is "partial Bacterial large subunit ribosomal RNA". It matches the Rfam family "Bacterial large subunit ribosomal RNA", at positions 230 to 633 of the family's 2925-position model. The record is from RNAcentral. Lineage: Eukaryota; Dinophyceae; Peridiniales; Kryptoperidiniaceae.
AGAGACUCCGUUAGUAGUGGCGAGCGAACGCGGACUAGGCCAGUGGCUUUAUUGUUGUAACCGGAACAUUCUGGAAAGUUUGGCAUUAAUGGGUGAUAGCCCUGUACGGAUACAGCAACGAUAAGGUCCUUGAGUAGGGCGGGACACGAGAAAUCCUGUUUGAACAUGGGGCGACCACGCUCCAAGCCUAAGUACUCCCAUGCGACCGAUAGUGAACCAGUACCGUGAGGGAAAGGCGAAAAGAACCCCUGUGAGGGGAGUGAAAUAGAUCCUGAAACCGUGUACGUACAAGCAGUGGGAGCCCCUUCGUGGGGUGACUGCGUACCUUUUGUAUAAUGGGUCAGCGACUUACAU